Molecule: ribosomal RNA, 493 nt
Filed under: Enterococcus faecalis
Lineage: Bacteria; Bacillati; Bacillota; Bacilli; Lactobacillales; Enterococcaceae
Description: partial 23S ribosomal RNA
Rfam family: Bacterial large subunit ribosomal RNA
Source: RNAcentral
AGUACGGCGGAACACGAGAAAUUCCGUCGGAAUCCGCGGGGACCAUCCCGCAAGGCUAAAUACUCCCUAGUGACCGAUAGUGAACCAGUACCGUGAGGGAAAGGUGAAAAGCACCCCGGAAGGGGAGUGAAAUAGAUCCUGAAACCGUGUGCCUACAACAAGUCAAAGCUCGUUAAUGAGUGAUGGCGUGCCUUUUGUAGAAUGAACCGGCGAGUUACGAUUGCAUGCGAGGUUAAGUCGAAGAGACGGAGCCGCAGCGAAAGCGAGUCUGAAUAGGGCGAAUGAGUAUGUAGUCGUAGACCCGAAACCAUGUGAUCUACCCAUGUCCAGGUUGAAGGUGCGGUAAAACGCACUGGAGGACCGAACCCACGUACGUUGAAAAGUGCGGGGAUGAGGUGUGGGUAGCGGAGAAAUUCCAAACGAACUUGGAGAUAGCUGGUUCUCUCCGAAAUAGCUUUAGGGCUAGCCUCGGAAUUGAGAAUGAUGGAGGUAG